CAGUCGAGCGGGGUUUUCGGACCUAGCGGCGGACGGGUGAGUAAUGCGUAGGAAGCUACCCGAUAGAGGGGGAUACCAGUUGGAAACGACUGUUAAUACCGCAUAAUGUCUACGGACCAAAGUGUGGGACCUUCGGGCCACAUGCUAUCGGAUGCGCCUACGUGGGAUUAGCUAGUUGGUGAGGUAAUGGCUCACCAAGGCGACGAUCCCUAGCUGGUUUGAGAGGAUGAUCAGCCACACUGGAACUGAGACACGGUCCAGACUCCUACGGGAGGCAGCAGUGGGGAAUAUUGGACAAUGGGCGCAAGCCUGAUCCAGCCAUGCCGCGUGUGUGAAGAAGGCCUUCGGGUUGUAAAGCACUUUCAGUAGGGAGGAAGCGUUGUGUGUUAAUAGUACACAGCGUUGACGUUACCUACAGAAGAAGCACCGGCUAACUCUGUGCCAGCAGCCGCGGUAAUACAGAGGGUGCAAGCGUUAAUCGGAAUUACUGGGCGUAAAGCGCACGUAGGCGGUUUUUUAAGUCAGAUGUGAAAGCCCCGGGCUCAACCUGGGAAUUGCAUUUGAAACUGGAAAACUAGAGUGUGUGAGAGGGGGGUAGAAU
RNAcentral lists this ribosomal RNA (601 nucleotides) under Rheinheimera sp. LB10-G-62-28-S-W. Its description in RNAcentral is "bacterial SSU rRNA". It matches the Rfam family "Bacterial small subunit ribosomal RNA", at positions 59 to 667 of the family's 1533-position model. Lineage: Bacteria; Pseudomonadati; Pseudomonadota; Gammaproteobacteria; Chromatiales; Chromatiaceae. The record is from RNAcentral.